This 776-nucleotide ribosomal RNA is filed under the name uncultured Neocallimastigales. Its description in RNAcentral is "partial large subunit ribosomal RNA". It matches the Rfam family "Eukaryotic large subunit ribosomal RNA", at positions 18 to 644 of the family's 3401-position model. Lineage: Eukaryota; Fungi; Neocallimastigomycota; Neocallimastigomycetes; Neocallimastigales. The record is from RNAcentral.
UCAGACGAUGCGUCAUGCAUAUCAAUAAGCGGAGGAAAAGAAACUAACAAGGAUUCCCCUAGUAACGGCGAGUGAAGCGGGAAGAGCUCAAAUUUGAAAUCUUAAAGGGUUUCCCUUUACGAAUUGUAGUUUAAAGAAGUGUUUUCUGUUGAGGUUUUGGUAAAAGUUCUUUGGAAUAGGACAUCAUAGAGGGUGAGAAUCCCGUAUUUGACCUUUACUUUCAACUUUGUGAUACACUUUCAAAGAGUCGGAUUGUUUGGGAAUGCAGUCCAAAAUGGGUGGUAAAUUUCAUCUAAAGCUAAAUAUUGGCGAGAGACCGAUAGCGAACAAGUACCGUGAGGGAAAGAUGAAAAGAACUUUGAAAAGAGAGUUAAACAGUACGUGAAAUUGUCCAAAAGGGAAGCGUUUGACACCAGUGUUGUUUUUCUGAAAAUCAAUUAAAGAACUGUUUAUGCUAAGCUGUUUAGACUUUAUCAGCUAUCUGUUUAGUUUUGAGCUUUUCUUUAAUGCACUUUUCAGUUAACAAGUCAACAUCAAUUUCUUUUGCUGUAAAAAAGGCUUGAGGAAGGUGGCUUGAGAUUCGUCUUAAGUGUUUAUAGCCUCUUGCCUAUGCAGUCGGAGAGAUUGAGGUCUGCAGCGUAGAUCCUUCGGGGCUAAAUGCAUUUGUGCUAAGUUAUAGCAUUUUAUAGACAACUUGUUGACUAUGAUUUGUCUUGUAGCUUACUCGCUUAUGUUAUUUUACCUACGCUUAGGAUGUUGAAUCUGUGCGAGACUAC